UGGGAAUUUGGACAAUGGGCGAAGCCUGAUCCAGCAAUGCCGCGUGUGUGAAGAAGGCCUUCGGGUUGUAAAGCACUUUUGUCCGGAAAGAAAUCCUUGGCUCUAAUACAGUCGGGGGAUGACGGUACCGGAAGAAUAAGCACCGGCUAACUACGUGCCAGCAGCCGCGGUAAUACGUAGGGUGCAAGCGUUAAUCGGAAUUACUGGGCGUAAAGCGUGCGCAGGCGGUUUGCUAAGACCGAUGUGAAAUCCCCGGGCUCAACCUGGGAACUGCAUUGGUGACUGGCAGGCUAGAGUAUGGCAGAGGGGGGUAGAAUUCCACGUGUAGCAGUGAAAUGCGUAGAGAUGUGGAGGAAUACCGAUGGCGAAGGCAGCCCCCUGGGCCAAUACUGACGCUCGUGCACGAAAGCGUGGGGAGCAAACAGGAUUAGAUACCCUGGUAGUCCACGCCCUAAACGAUGUCAACUAGUUGUUGGGGAUUCAUUUCCUUAGUAACGUAGCUAACGCGUGAAGUUGACCGCCUGGGGAGUACGGUCGCAAGAUUAAAACUCAAAUGAAUUGACGGGGUCAUAGCUGUUUCCU
This 582-nucleotide ribosomal RNA is filed under the name uncultured bacterium. RNAcentral's name for it is "partial 16S ribosomal RNA". It matches the Rfam family "Bacterial small subunit ribosomal RNA", at positions 357 to 1375 of the family's 1533-position model. The record is from RNAcentral.